GAUGAACGCUGGCGGCGUGCCUAAUACAUGCAAGUCGAGCGAACGGACGAGAAGCUUGCUUCUCUGAUGUUAGCGGCGGACGGGUGAGUAACACGUGGAUAACCUACCUAUAAGACUGGGAUAACUUCGGGAAACCGGAGCUAAUACCGGAUAAUAUUUUGAACCGCAUGGUUCAAAAGUGAAAGACGGUCUUGCUGUCACUUAUAGAUGGAUCCGCGCUGCAUUAGCUAGUUGGUAAGGUAACGGCUUACCAAGGCAACGAUGCAUAGCCGACCUGAGAGGGUGAUCGGCCACACUGGAAGGGGGACACGGUCCAGACUCCUACGGGAGGCAGCAGUAGGGAAUCUUCCGCAAUGGGCGAAAGCCUGACGGAGCAACGCCGCGUGAGUGAUGAAGGUCUUCGGAUCGUAAAACUCUGUUAUUAGGGAAGAACAUAUGUGUAAGUAACUGUGCACAUCUUGACGGUACCUAAUCAGAAAGCCACGGCUAACUACGUG
RNAcentral lists this ribosomal RNA (497 nucleotides) under uncultured bacterium. RNAcentral describes it as "partial 16S ribosomal RNA". It matches the Rfam family "Bacterial small subunit ribosomal RNA", at positions 28 to 507 of the family's 1533-position model. The record is from RNAcentral.